Molecule: ribosomal RNA, 433 nt
Filed under: uncultured bacterium
Lineage: Bacteria
Description: partial 16S ribosomal RNA
Rfam family: Bacterial small subunit ribosomal RNA
Source: RNAcentral
AACGAACGCUGGCGGCAUGCCUAACACAUGCAAGUCGAACGAGACCUUCGGGGCUUGUGGCGCACGUGUGCGUAACGCGUGGGAAUCUACCCUCAGGUUCGGAAUAACUUAGAGCGAUUUGAUUUAAUAUAGGAUCUUGUCGUAAGUACAAAGAUUUAUCGCCUGAGGAUGAGCCCGCUUAGGAUUAGGUAGUUGGUGCGGUAAAGGAACACCAAGCCGACGAUACUUAGCUGCUCUGCGAGGAUGAUCAGCCACACUGGGACUGAGACACGGCCCAGUCUCCUACGGUAGGCAGUGGUGGGGAGUAUUAUACAAUCAGCCAGAGCGUAGUCCAGCAAUGCCGCGUGUGGUAUGAAGGCCUUGGAGUUGUAAAACUCUGAGUCCCUGUAUGAUAAUGACAGUACUGGGAGAAUAAGCAUCGGCUAACUCCGUG